This 400-nucleotide ribosomal RNA is filed under the name uncultured bacterium. RNAcentral describes it as "bacterial SSU rRNA". It matches the Rfam family "Bacterial small subunit ribosomal RNA", at positions 355 to 772 of the family's 1533-position model. The record is from RNAcentral.
UGAGGAAUCUUCCGCAAUGGGCGAAAGCCUGACGGAGCGACACCGCGUGAAGGAUGAAGCCUUUGUUGGUGUAAACUUCUUUUCUGUGGGAAGAUAAUGACGGUACCACAGGAAUAAGGGGCGGCAAACUACGUGCCAGCAGCCGCGGUAAUACGUAGGCCCCAAGCGUUAUCCGGAAUUACUGGGCGUAAAGCGUGCGUAGGUGGAAUGAAAAGUCAGAUGUGAAAGGCUGGGGCUCAACCCCAUGUUUGCAUCCGAAACUCUCAUUCUAGAAUUAGGGAGAGGCAAGCAGAAUCGUACGAGUAGGGGUGCAAUCCGUUGAUACGUACGAGAAUACCAAAAGCGAAGGCAGCUUGCUGGAACUAUAUUGACACUGAGGCACGAAAGCGUGGGGAGCGAA